Molecule: ribosomal RNA, 1483 nt
Filed under: uncultured Alcaligenes sp.
Lineage: Bacteria; Pseudomonadati; Pseudomonadota; Betaproteobacteria; Burkholderiales; Alcaligenaceae
Description: bacterial SSU rRNA
Rfam family: Bacterial small subunit ribosomal RNA
Source: RNAcentral
CAUCGAGAUUGAACGCUAGCGGGAUGCUUUACACAUGCAAGUCGGAACGGCAGCACGAGAGAGCUUGCUCUCUAUGGUGGCGAGUGGCGGACGGGUGAGUAAUAUAUCGGAACGUGCCUAGUAGCGGUGGGAUAACUACUCGAAAGAGUGGCUAAUACCGCAUAACGCCCUACGGGGGAAAGGGGGGGAUCGCAAGACCUCUCACUAUUAGAGCGGCCGAUAUCGGAUUAGCUAGUUGGUGGGGUAAAGGCUCACCAAGGCAACGAUCCGUAGCUGGUUUGAGAGGACGACCAGCCACACUGGGACUGAGACACGGCCCAGACUCCUACGGGAGGCAGCAGUGGGGAAUUGUUGGACAAUGGGGGAAACCCUGAUCCAGCCAUCCCGCGUGUAUGAUGAAGGCCUUCGGUGUUGUAGUGUACUUAUGGCAGAGAAGAAUAGGUACCUCCUAAUACGAGGUACUGCUGACGGUAUCUGCAGAAUAAGCACCGGCUAACUACGUGCCAGCAGCCGCGGUAAUACGUAGUGGUGCAAGCGUUAAAGGGAAUUACUGGGCGUAAAGCGUGUGUAGGCGGUUCGGAAAGAAAGAUGUGAAAUCCCAGGGCUUAACCUUGGAACUGCAUUUACAACUGCCGAGCUAGAGUAUGUCAGAGGUAGGUAGAAUUCCACGUGUAGCAGUGAAAUGCGUAGAUAUGUGGAGGAAUACCGAUGGCGAAGGCAGCCCCCUGGGAUAAUACUGACGCUCAGACACGAAAGCGUGGGGUUCAAACAGGAUUAGAUACCCUGGUAGUCCACGCCCUAAACGAUGUCAACUAGCUGUUGGGGCCGUUAGGCCUUAGUAGCGCAGGUAACGCGUGAAGUUGACCGCCUGGGGAGUACGGUCGCAAGAUUAAAACUCAAAGGAAUUGACGGCGACCCGCACAAGCGGUGGAUGAUGUGGAUUAAUUCGAUGCAACGCGAAAAACCUUACCUACCGUUGACAUGUCUGGAAUCCCGAAGAGCGUUGGGAGUGCUCGCAAGAGAACCUUGGAGCACAGGUGCUGCAUGGCUGUCGUCAGCUCGUGUCGUGAGAUGUUGGGUUAAGUCCCGCAACGAGCGCAACCCUUGUCAUUAGUUGCUACGCACAGAGCACUCUAAUGAGACUGCCGGUGACAAACCGGAGGAAUGGUGGGGAUGACGUCAAGUCCUCAUGGCCCUUAUGGGUAGGGCUUCACACGUCAUACAAUGGUCGGGACAGAGUGUCGCCAACCCGCGAGGGGGAGCCAAUCUCAGAAACCCGAUCGUAGUCCGGAUCGCAGUCUGCAACUCGACUGCGUGAAGUCGGAAUCGCUAGUAAUCGCGGAUCAGAAUGUCGCGGUGAAUACGUUCCCGGGUCUUGUACACACCGCCACGUCACACCAUGGGAGUGGGUUUCACCAGAAGUAGGUAGCCUAACCGUAAAGAGGGCGCUUACCACGGUGGGAUUCAUGACUGGGACUAUCGG